RNAcentral lists this long non-coding RNA (586 nucleotides) under Homo sapiens (human). RNAcentral describes it as "LHRI_LNC1294.5". The record is from RNAcentral. Lineage: Eukaryota; Metazoa; Chordata; Mammalia; Primates; Hominidae.
GGUGGUCGCCCUCCGUCGUGGUCUGGCGUGUAUUCCGAGCGUUGGUGUCUGGCGGUUUCCGAGCGUUGGUGUCUGGCGGUUUCUGACCGUUGGUGUCUGGCGGUUUCCGACCGUUGGUGUCUGGCACGCGCCACCCUCUCUUGCUUUGGUUGCGCCAUGCCGAUGUACCAGACAAGAAGACAAGAAAAUGAUUUGAGGACAGCUUCAAUCGCGGUGUGAAGAAGAAAGCAGCAAAACGACCACUGAAAACAACGCCGGUGGCAAAAUAUCCAAAGAAAGGGUCCCAAGCGGUACAUCGUCAUAGCCGGAAACAGUCAGAGCCACCAGCCAAUGAUAUUUUCAAUGCUGCGAAAGCUGCCAAAAGUGACAUGCAGCACCGAGAAGUCCGCGUGAAGUGCGUGAAGGCUCUGAAAGGGCUGUACGGUAACCGGGACCUGACCGCACGCCUUCACUGGCCGCUUCAAGGACUGGAUGGUUUCCAUGAUCGUGGACAGAGAGUACAGUGUGGCAGUGGAGGCCGUCAGAUUACUGAUACUUAUCCUUAAGAACAUGGAAGGGGUGCUGAUGGACGUGGACUGUGAGAGCG